GACGAACGCUGGCGGCGUGCUUAACACAUGCAAGUCGAACGGAAAGGCCCUGCUUUUGUGGGGUGCUCGAGUGGCGAACGGGUGAGUAACACGUGAGUAACCUGCCCUUGACUUUGGGAUAACUUCAGGAAACUGGGGCUAAUACCGGAUAGGAGCUCCUGCUGCAUGGUGUGGGUUGGAAAGUUUCGGCGGUUGGGGAUGGACUCGCGGCUUAUCAGCUUGUUGGUGGGGUAGUGGCUUACCAAGGCUUUGACGGGUAGCCGGCCUGAGAGGGUGACCGGCAACAUUGGGACUGAGAUACGGCCCAGACUCCUACGGGAGGCAGCAGUGGGGAAUAUUGCAAAAUGGGCGGAAGCCUGAUGCAGCAACGCCGCGUGCGGGAUGACGGCCUUCGGGUUGUAAACCGCUUUCGCCUGUGACGAAGCGUGAGUGACGGUAAUGGGUAAAGAAGCACCGGCUAACUACGUG
This 468-nucleotide ribosomal RNA is filed under the name uncultured bacterium. RNAcentral describes it as "partial 16S ribosomal RNA". It matches the Rfam family "Bacterial small subunit ribosomal RNA", at positions 28 to 507 of the family's 1533-position model. The record is from RNAcentral.